GCUGUGGCGCGGGCGGCGACGCUGCGUGGCUCUGGAGGACCGGCGCGGACCUGCAGCGGCUCGCUGAGGCCGUGGGUCGUCGCUGCAGCUGUCAGGACUCUUGGGGCGAACUUGCCAGACAGAGAGGAGCGGAAGGGAAGGGAUGCAUGGGCAUGGGGGCUAUGACUCUGAUUUUAGUGAUGAUGAGCAAGGUGGAGGAUCCAGCAAAAAGAGGAAGAAGACAGUUGAAGAUGAGUUGCUGCUUACAAAACCAUUUCAAAAAGAAAAAUAUGGAAAGGUGGCCCAUAAACAAGUUGCUGCAGACUUGCUGGACAGGGAAGAAGCAAGAAAUAGAAGGUUUCAUCUCAUAGCUAUGGAUGCUGUAUCCUUUUUAUAGCCCUAUUUUUAUGACUAAUAGAGUAUUUUGCUUGUUAGCCAUGUUUUCUAACUUUUAAACAUCAAAAUCUUGUCAAGUAGACUAGUUUUAUUUUUACAGGUUAGUGAUUAUUGAUAUAGAAGUUUACCAUUUAUAUUUUCAGAUGUAAUUCUCUUUUGCUAAUAUAUAGAAAAAAUUAGAAGAAAAAUUCAUUUUUAAUGAAAAAAUAGUAGUUGUGGUCUACAAAUAGACUUAAAAAGUCCAGGAACUGACACGUAUUCCAGCCUGUUCUUGUCAGGCUCCCAGCAUCUCCCUUUUCUGUUCUCGUCUUCUUUGGUAUCAUUUUAAUUUAUUCC
RNAcentral lists this long non-coding RNA (711 nucleotides) under Rattus norvegicus (Norway rat). RNAcentral's name for it is "long non-coding RNA NONRATT003745". Lineage: Eukaryota; Metazoa; Chordata; Mammalia; Rodentia; Muridae. The record is from RNAcentral.